This 406-nucleotide ribosomal RNA is filed under the name uncultured bacterium. RNAcentral's name for it is "partial 16S ribosomal RNA". It matches the Rfam family "Bacterial small subunit ribosomal RNA", at positions 30 to 526 of the family's 1533-position model. The record is from RNAcentral.
AUUGAACGCUGGCGGCAGGCCUAACACAUGCAAGUCGAACGAGUGGCGGACGGGUGAGUAGUGUCGGGGAAACUGCCUGAUGGAGGGGGAAAACUACUGGAAACGGGAGAUAAUACCGUAUACUAUCAGAUGUGCCCAGAUGGGAUUAGCUAGGUGGUGGGGUAACGGCUCACCAAGGCGACGAUCCCUAGCUGGUCUGAGAGGAUGACCAGCCACACUGGAACUGAGACACGGUCCAGACUCCUACGGGAGGCAGCAGUGGGGAAUAUUGCACAAUGGGCGCAAGCCUGAUACAGCCAUGCCGCGUGUGUGAAGAAGGCCUUCGGGUUGUAAAGUACUUUCAGCGGGGAGGCGUUACCCGCAGAAGAAGCACCGGCUAACUCCGUGCCAGCCGCCGCGGUAAUAC